AGAAUGAACGCUGGCGGCGUGGUUAAGACAUGCAAGUCGAACGGUGUUUCAAAUGUAGCAAUACAUUUGAAACGCAGUGGCGAACGGGUGCGUAACACGUGAACAAUUUACCUUUUAGUGUGGAAUAGCUCGACGAAAGUCGGAUUAAUACCGCAUGUGGUUGUCUCUCUCCUGAGAGGCAUACUAAAGCCAGGGACCGCAAGGCCUGGCGCUAUUAGAGGAGUUCGCGGCCUAUCAGCUAGUUGGCGAGGUAACGGCUCACCAAGGCUAAGACGGGUAGC
This 281-nucleotide ribosomal RNA is filed under the name uncultured bacterium. RNAcentral describes it as "partial small subunit ribosomal RNA". It matches the Rfam family "Bacterial small subunit ribosomal RNA", at positions 26 to 287 of the family's 1533-position model. The record is from RNAcentral.